AUUGAACGCUGGCGGCAUGCUUUACACAUGCAAGUCGAACGGCAGCGCGAGCUUCGGCCUGGCGGCGAGAGGCGAACGGGUGAGUAAUGCAUCCGAACGUGCCCAGUAGUGGGGGAUAGCCCGGCGAAAGCCGGAUUAAUACCGCAUACGACCUGAGGGUGAAAGCGGGGGACCGAAAGGCCUCGCGCUAUUGGAGCGGCCGAUGUCGGAUUAGCUAGUUGGUGGGGUAAAGGCUUACCAAGGCGACGAUCCGUAGCUGGUCUGAGAGGACGACCAGCCACACUGGGACUGAGACACGGCCCAGACUCCUACGGGAGGCAGCAGUGGGGAAUUUUGGACAAUGGGGGCAACCCUGAUCCAGCCAUGCCGCGUGCGGGAAGAAGGCCUUCGGGUUGUAAACCGCUUUUGUUCGGGAAGAAAUCCUCUGGGCUAAUACCCCGGGGGGAUGACGGUACCGGAAGAAUAAGCACCGGCUAACUACGUG
Molecule: ribosomal RNA, 484 nt
Filed under: uncultured bacterium
Lineage: Bacteria
Description: partial 16S ribosomal RNA
Rfam family: Bacterial small subunit ribosomal RNA
Source: RNAcentral